UACGUAGGGGGCUAGCGUUGUUCGGAAUUACUGGGCGUAAAGCGCACGUAGGCGGCUUUGUAAGUCAGAGGUGAAAGCCCAGGGCUCAACCCUGGAAUUGCCUUUAAGACUGCAUCGCUUGAACAUCGGAGAGGUAAGUGGAAUUCCGGGUGUAGAGGUGAAAUUCGUAGAUAUUCGGAAGAACACCAGUGGCGAAGGCGACUUACUGGACGAUUGUUGACGCUGAGGUGCGAAAGCGUGGGGAGCAAACAGG
RNAcentral lists this ribosomal RNA (253 nucleotides) under uncultured bacterium. RNAcentral describes it as "partial 16S ribosomal RNA". It matches the Rfam family "Bacterial small subunit ribosomal RNA", at positions 524 to 776 of the family's 1533-position model. The record is from RNAcentral.